RNAcentral lists this ribosomal RNA (118 nucleotides) under Bifidobacterium bifidum ATCC 29521 = JCM 1255 = DSM 20456. The record is from RNAcentral. Lineage: Bacteria; Bacillati; Actinomycetota; Actinomycetes; Bifidobacteriales; Bifidobacteriaceae.
UUUGCGGCGGCCAUGGCCCAGGAGAGACGCCCGGUCCCAUUCCGAACCCGGAAGCUAAGGCCUGGCACGGCGAUGGUACUGCACCCGACAGGGUGUGGGAGAGUAGCACGCCGCCGCA